GCGCUUAACACAUGCAAGUCGCACGAGAAAGGGGGCAACCCUGAGUAAAGUGGCGCACGGGUGAGUAACACGUGGAUCAUCUACCUUUUGGUGGGGAAUACCCCUGGGAAACUGGGGACAAUUCCGCAUAAUCUCGCGAGAGGAAAGCAGCAAUGCGCCGAUAGAGGAGUCCGCGGCUGAUUAGCUUGUUGGUGAGGUAAUGGCUCACCAAGGCAAAGAUCGGUAGCCGGCCUGAGAGGGCACACGGCCACACUGGCACUGAAACACGGGCCAG
RNAcentral lists this ribosomal RNA (274 nucleotides) under uncultured bacterium. Its description in RNAcentral is "partial 16S ribosomal RNA". It matches the Rfam family "Bacterial small subunit ribosomal RNA", at positions 44 to 334 of the family's 1533-position model. The record is from RNAcentral.